AUGUCAGCCUCUUUGCUCCCUCAGACUGGACACCCAGCUACCCUUGGGAGCCCACAACCUGGAGACAGGCUAUGCCCUGAUGCUGGCAGCAGUCCUAGUGAUGCAGCCCCCCAUCAGGCCUUGGAGCCUGUAAAGAGCCAACUGGUUUCAGCUGGGAGGAGGACAAACUGGGACCAGAUCCAUCCCACCUCCUUAGCUGCCCAGAGACUCAGGACCCGAAGCCUUCCACUGACCCAGCCCCCCAUCCUGGGCCUGCUGUUACUGCUGCUGCUGCUCUUUGCUCUCGUCCUGGCCUUCUCUCGGCCUCUGGCCUGGCCCCACCUCCAACUGAGUUACCGCCAGCCCCCACCAGUGUGAACCCCCAGCACAGUUUCUGACCCAAUAAACUGCCUCCAUGCCCCCA
This 403-nucleotide long non-coding RNA is filed under the name Phascolarctos cinereus (koala). Its description in RNAcentral is "lncRNA (ENSPCIG00000034858.1)". The record is from RNAcentral. Lineage: Eukaryota; Metazoa; Chordata; Mammalia; Diprotodontia; Phascolarctidae.